Molecule: ribosomal RNA, 254 nt
Filed under: Haemadipsa sylvestris (Indian leech)
Lineage: Eukaryota; Metazoa; Annelida; Clitellata; Hirudinida; Haemadipsidae
Description: partial 28S ribosomal RNA
Rfam family: Eukaryotic large subunit ribosomal RNA
Source: RNAcentral
AACACGUGCGCGAGUCGCAGGGUUGUACGAAACCCGAAGGCGCAACAAAAGUGAAUGAUCUUCGGAUCUAGGUGGGAUCCCGAAGCCAGCGAUGGCGACGGGCGCACCACCGGCCUGUCUCGGCCGCGACGUCGGCGAGGCGGAGCAAGAGCGUACGCGUUGGGACCCGAAAGAUGGUGAACUAUGCCUGAGCAGGAUGAAGCCAGCAAGAAAUUCUGGUGGAGGUCCGCAGCGAUUCUGACGUGCAAAUCGAU